This 250-nucleotide ribosomal RNA is filed under the name uncultured bacterium. Its description in RNAcentral is "partial 16S ribosomal RNA". It matches the Rfam family "Bacterial small subunit ribosomal RNA", at positions 525 to 775 of the family's 1533-position model. The record is from RNAcentral.
ACGUAGGGGGCAAGCGUUGUCCGGAAUUAUUGGGCGUAAAGCGCGCGCAGGCGGUUUUCUAAGUCUGGUGUUUAAGCCCAGGGCUCAACCCUGGUUCGCACUGGAAACUGGAAGACUUGAGUGCAGGAGAGGAAAGCGGAAUUCCACGUGUAGCGGUGAAAUGCGUAGAUAUGUGGAGGAACACCGGUGGCGAAGGCGACUUUCUGGACUGUAACUGACGCUGAGGCGCGAAAGCGUGGGGAGCAAACAG